RNAcentral lists this ribosomal RNA (718 nucleotides) under Halobacillus trueperi. RNAcentral's name for it is "bacterial SSU rRNA". It matches the Rfam family "Bacterial small subunit ribosomal RNA", at positions 56 to 742 of the family's 1533-position model. The record is from RNAcentral. Lineage: Bacteria; Bacillati; Bacillota; Bacilli; Caryophanales; Bacillaceae.
UGCAGUCGAGCGCGGGAAGCGAGUGGAUCCCUUCGGGGUGAAGCUCGUGGAACGAGCGGCGGACGGGUGAGUAACACGUGGGCAACCUGCCUGUAAGAUCGGAAUAACCCCGGGAAACCGGGGCUAAUGCCGGGUAAUACUUUCUUUCGCAUGAAGGAAAGUUGAAAGAUGGCUUCUUGCUAUCACUUACAGAUGGGCCCGCGGCGCAUUAGCUAGUUGGUGAGGUAACGGCUCACCAAGGCGACGAUGCGUAGCCGACCUGAGAGGGUGAUCGGCCACACUGGGACUGAGACACGGCCCAGACUCCUACGGGAGGCAGCAGUAGGGAAUCUUCCGCAAUGGACGAAAGUCUGACGGAGCAACGCCGCGUGAACGAUGAAGGUCUUCGGAUCGUAAAGUUCUGUUGUUAGGGAAGAACAAGUACCGUGCGAAUAGAGCGGUACCUUGACGGUACCUAACGAGGAAGCCCCGGCUAACUACGUGCCAGCAGCCGCGGUAAUACGUAGGGGGCAAGCGUUGUCCGGAAUUAUUGGGCGUAAAGCGCGCGCAGGCGGUUCCUUAAGUCUGAUGUGAAAGCCCACGGCUCAACCGUGGAGGGUCAUUGGAAACUGGGGAACUUGAGGACAGAAGAGGAGAGUGGAAUUCCACGUGUAGCGGUGAAAUGCGUAGAUAUGUGGAGGAACACCAGUGGCGAAGGCGACUCUCUGGUCUGUUUCUG